RNAcentral lists this ribosomal RNA (497 nucleotides) under uncultured bacterium. Its description in RNAcentral is "partial 16S ribosomal RNA". It matches the Rfam family "Bacterial small subunit ribosomal RNA", at positions 28 to 507 of the family's 1533-position model. The record is from RNAcentral.
GAUGAACGCUGGCGGCGUGCCUAAUACAUGCAAGUCGAGCGGACAGACGAGGAGCUUGCUCCUUUGACGUUAGCGGCGGACGGGUGAGUAACACGUGGGUAACCUACCUAUAAGACUGGGAUAACUUCGGGAAACCGGAGCUAAUACCGGAUAAUAUUUCGAACCGCAUGGUUCGAUAGUGAAAGAUGGCUCUGCUAUCACUUAUAGAUGGACCUGCGCCGUAUUAGCUAGUUGGUAAGGUAACGGCUUACCAAGGCAACGAUACGUAGCCGACCUGAGAGGGUGAUCGGCCACACUGGAACUGAGACACGGUCCAGACUCCUACGGGAGGCAGCAGUAGGGAAUCUUCCGCAAUGGGCGAAAGCCUGACGGAGCAACGCCGCGUGAGUGAUGAAGGUCUUCGGAUCGUAAAACUCUGUUAUUAGGGAAGAACAAACGUGUAAGUAACUGUGCACGUCUUGACGGUACCUAAUCAGAAAGCCACGGCUAACUACGUG